UACGGAGGGUGCAAGCGUUAUCCGGAUUUACUGGGUUUAAAGGGUGCGUAGGUGGGUUGGUAAGUCAGUGGUGAAAUACUUUCGCUUAACGAAGGAACUGCCAUUGAUACUACCAGUCUUGAAUACAGUGGAGGUAGGCGGAAUGCGUCACGUAGCGGUGAAAUGCUUAGAUAUGACGCAGAACACCAAUUGCGAAGGCAGCUUGCUACACUGUUAUUGACACUGAGGCACGAAAGCGUGGGGAUCAAACAGG
RNAcentral lists this ribosomal RNA (253 nucleotides) under uncultured bacterium. RNAcentral's name for it is "partial 16S ribosomal RNA". It matches the Rfam family "Bacterial small subunit ribosomal RNA", at positions 524 to 776 of the family's 1533-position model. The record is from RNAcentral.